This 463-nucleotide ribosomal RNA is filed under the name uncultured bacterium. Its description in RNAcentral is "partial 16S ribosomal RNA". It matches the Rfam family "Bacterial small subunit ribosomal RNA", at positions 29 to 506 of the family's 1533-position model. The record is from RNAcentral.
AUGAACGCUGGCGGCGUGCUUAACACAUGCAAGUCGAACGGAAAGGCUCCUGCUUGCAGGGGUACUCGAGUGGCGAACGGGUGAGUAACACGUGGGUGAUCUGCCCUGCACUUCGGGAUAAGCCUGGGAAACUGGGUCUAAUACCGGAUAGGACGAUGGUUUGGAUGCCAUUGUGGAAAGUUUUUCGGUGUGGGAUGAGCUCGCGGCCUAUCAGCUUGUUGGUGGGGUAAUGGCCUACCAAGGCGUCGACGGGUAGCCGGCCUGAGAGGGUGUACGGCCACAUUGGGACUGAGAUACGGCCCAGACUCCUACGGGAGGCAGCAGUGGGGAAUAUUGCACAAUGGGCGCAAGCCUGAUGCAGCGACGCCGCGUGGGGGAUGACGGCCUUCGGGUUGUAAACUCCUUUCGCUAGGGACGAAGCGCAAGUGACGGUACCUGGAGAAGAAGCACCGGCUAACUACGU